CCUACGGGGGGCAGCAGUGAGGAAUAUUGGUCAAUGGACGAGAGUCUGAACCAGCCAAGUAGCGUGAAGGAUGACUGCCCUAUGGGUUGUAAACUUCUUUUAUAUGGGAAUAAAAUGUUCCACGUGUGGGAUUUUGUAUGUACCAUAUGAAUAAGGAUCGGCUAACUCCGUGCCAGCAGCCGCGGUAAGACGGAGGAUCCGAGCGUUAUCCGGAUUUAUUGGGUUUAAAGGGAGCGUAGGUGGAUUGUUAAGUCAGUUGUGAAAGUUUGCGGCUCAACCGUAAAAUUGCAGUUGAAACUGGCAGUCUUGAGUACAGUAGAGGUGGGCGGAAUUCGUGGUGUAGCGGUGAAAUGCUUAGAUAUCACGAAGAACUCCGAUUGCGAAGGCAGUUCACUGGACUGCAACUGACACUGAGGCUCGAAAGUGUGGGUAUCAAACAGGAUUAGAUACCCGGGUAGUC
Molecule: ribosomal RNA, 460 nt
Filed under: uncultured bacterium
Lineage: Bacteria
Description: partial 16S ribosomal RNA
Rfam family: Bacterial small subunit ribosomal RNA
Source: RNAcentral